UGAUUAUACACUGAUGUGCUAAGGAAAACAGCACCAAUAUAGCUUCCCAUAAGCCCUUCGGAGUGGUUCACAUAUAUAGCCUCUCCUAGGGAGGUUCACUUGCAAACCCUUGUCAAAAAAGGAACAAAUAUGCCAUGUGAAAACUGUGCAUUGGUUAGAGGAAAUGGAUCAACACAGAGGCCACAGGGGAAAAAGUGCCAGUGGCUUAUUUAUUGAAUGAUUCAACGUUUUAGACAAGGAAAGAUUGAAGUAUGUCUCAUGAGCUGAAACCACCUUCAGGCUGACAAACUUCCACCUACAGAACUUAUAAACACUACUAUAUGAUACAUUACAUUCAGAGUCCAAUUAUAAGCAUCUUUGCUAAACCCUGGCCAAUUAAUAGUUCCAAACUGGUUUUUCCAGUGCCAUCAAUCUACCUCCCUUCUUGCAUUUACACUGCAGCCAGACAAAUGUAUAAUAUUCACUAAGGGCAGUGGCUCUAAACACUUUAGAAUAAAGAACUAUGUGGACAAAAUAUUAGGAGCUUCCAAAAGUCUAGUGCUAAAUUCUGAGCAGCAUCACCUCUCCACUGGAUUUCUGCAAUGACCUCAAUAAUAUGUCCCUCGAGUGGCAGUUUUGCUUAUUCACAUCCAUUCUCUACACUGUCCAUUGUCCUUCUGAUUAAAUUCUUUAAAUGAUUCUUCAAUGAGCACAGGAUGAAAUCAAAAUUCUUUAUCAUAAGGUUGUUGAAAGUAUGGCGCCUCUCUUCUGGAGUCUUCUUUCCAUCAGCUCACGUUCUCAAACUCCAAGUCACAGACAUUGAGGCUUUAAAUUUUCUAUGUCAUUUCACCUUUGUAUCUAGGUAUUUGUACCAUGCUAUUUCCUCAGCCUGAACACUCUCCUCCUCCAUCACAAUCCCAACUUCGCUCUCAUGACCCAGUAACUUUAAUUCAUUCCCAUUUCAUCCUAUGCUUUCUAUUAUUUUUAGUCUUUUUUUUUAAGAUUUUUUUAAUUUAUUUAUUCAUGAGAGACACAGAUAGAGAUGGAGAGGCAGAGACACAGGCAGAGGGAGAAGCAGGCUCCAUGCAGGAAGCCUGAUGUGGGACUUGAUCCCCGGACUCCAGGAUCAUGCCCUGGGCCGAAGGCAGGCGUCAAACUGCUGAGCCACCCAGGGAUCCCCCUUAUUUUUAUACCAUAGACUGAAAUAACUUGUCAAUUUUCCCUCUCAUUAUAAACACUAAUAGUUGCUAAAGACUACCUAGCAUAGUAUCUGGCACAUAGAGAGACUGGCAAAAAUACUUUGAAUGAAUAAAUGACUGAAAAACAAGUCAUCUAGCUCCUUGGUUAAAAUUAAAUUGUUACAAAAACAUACAGUAUGUUGAAAUCUGAACUUGUGUAGACAUGACAAAAUUAUGGAUGAUUAUUAUUAUGUCCUAGAGCUUAGUAAAAAUUCAAUGAAUGUUAGUAGCCACCAUUAUUUUUUAUAUUAUAAAAGCAUUUAUGUUUCAGAAAGUUCUUCACAACUAUUAUUUCCUUUCUACUACAAACUCAUAUAGAUUAUCACUUAAAACUUGUUAAAAUAGGAGUGCCUGGGUGGUUCAGACGGUUAAAUGUCCAAAUCUUGAUUUCGACUCCAGUCAUGAUCUCAGGGUUGUGAGAUCGAGCCCCUCAUUGGGCUCCGUGCUAGGUGUGGAGCCUGCUUAAGAUUCUCUUUCCCUUUUCCCUCUGCCCUUCCUACCCUCCCCGUCUCUAAACAACAAAACUUGUUAAAAUAAAUGUAGUUUGAUGUAUGUACCUUUCUUGCAAAAGCAGCUUUAUUUAAAUGAAGGAAAUUUGUAAGGACAAGAGAACUCAGAGUCAACAAAUCAUAUGGUUACAUAUGAUUGUAACAAAAAAUAAUUAUCAUUAAAAAGAACUCACCUAUAACUCUAUUUAUGUAGAGAACAGGAAAUUUGAGGACAAAAGGCAAUGAUGAAAACCCCCCCAAUGCUCCACAAAUAACUUAAUCCUAGUGAUAUACAUACAUGCGGUUUGCAUGUUAUUUUAAUAAAAGUACCUAGAGGGCACUGAUUUGCCAUAUUUUUCUGGAUCUGUGUAGCAAGCACUGCACAUGUGUGGAUAUUACUUGUGGGUAAGCACUAUUUACUCUACAAAUAAAUUACUAUGUAGCUUACAUUGUUAGGGUCGCAUGAUAGCCCUAUAGCUUAAAAGACUGAAAUAACCAUGCAUUUAUCUUGUCACUACAGGUACUUACAGUGUAAUUACAAGGUCAACAGUUAC
Molecule: long non-coding RNA, 2259 nt
Filed under: Canis lupus familiaris (dog)
Lineage: Eukaryota; Metazoa; Chordata; Mammalia; Carnivora; Canidae
Description: lncRNA (ENSCAFG00845000265.1)
Source: RNAcentral